AUUGAACGCUGGCGGCAGGCCUAACACAUGCAAGUCGAACGAGUGGCGGACGGGUGAGUAAUGUCUGGGAAACUGCCCGAUGGAGGGGGAUAACUACUGGAAACUGUAGCUAAUACCGCAUACCAUCGGAUGUGCCUCGAUGGGAUUAGCUAGGAGGGGGGGUAACGGCUCACCUAGGCGACGCUCCCUAGCUGGUCUGAGAGGAUGACCAGCCACACUGGAACUGAGACACGGUCCAGACUCCUACGGGAGGCAGCAGUGGGGAAUAUUGCACAAUGGGCGCAAGCCUGAUGCAGCCAGGCCGCGUGUAUGAAGAAGGCCUUCGGGUUGUAAAGUACUUUCAGCGAGGAGGCGUUACUCUCAGAAGAAGCACCGGCUAACUCCGUGCCAGCAGCCGCGGUAAUAC
Molecule: ribosomal RNA, 406 nt
Filed under: uncultured bacterium
Lineage: Bacteria
Description: partial 16S ribosomal RNA
Rfam family: Bacterial small subunit ribosomal RNA
Source: RNAcentral